GUCCACACUGUAAACGAUGAUUACUCGAUGUUGGCGAUACACAGCCAGCGUCUUAGCGAAAGCGAUAAGUAAUCCACCUGGGGAGUACGCCCGCAAGGGUGAAACUCAAAGGAAUUGACGGGGUCGCACAAGCGGUGGAGCAUGUGGUUUAAUUUCGAUGAUACGCGAGGAACCUUACCCUGGGCUAGAAUGCCCUUGACAGAUCCAUAGAUGGAUUCUUCCGCAAGGACAAGGAGCAAGGUGCUGCAUGGCUGUCGU
RNAcentral lists this ribosomal RNA (258 nucleotides) under uncultured bacterium. Its description in RNAcentral is "partial 16S ribosomal RNA". It matches the Rfam family "Bacterial small subunit ribosomal RNA", at positions 793 to 1055 of the family's 1533-position model. The record is from RNAcentral.